Non-coding RNA from Ciona intestinalis (vase tunicate), 356 nucleotides. The record is from RefSeq and is a predicted model, not a curated record. NCBI's taxonomy places the organism in Eukaryota, Metazoa, Chordata, Ascidiacea, Phlebobranchia, Cionidae.
AAGACAAAGGGUUUCGGGAACAAUUACGCGUUUAAUAUCACCACGUCUGUAAUAAAAAGCGGCGAGCUAUGGUACGAAAUUAGCCUUUCAUUCAGAAGUCAACAAAAUGAAUAAGUCAGCGCUUUUUCUUUUGCUUCUCAUCGGACUCCUCGUCCUCGCCGAAACAAAAGCGGAUUCCGAACGACGUCGCCGCCAUUACCCUCACAAAGGACCACGUCGUCGAUGGCAUUGGAACCAAGGGAAAUCAGUAAACAUUGAAGACCUGAGUGAAAGUCUUGAGCUAGCUGAAGAUCUUCAAUAAACCAACCGAUGUUAUAAAUACAGUUCGCUGGUUUCAAUAAACCAUCGUCAAUAUA